UACGGGGGGGGCAAGCGUUGUUCGGAAUUACUGGGCGUAAAGGGCUCGUAGGCGGCCAACUAAGUCAGACGUGAAAUCCCUCGGCUUAACCGGGGAACUGCGUCUGAUACUGGAUGGCUUGAGUUCGGGAGAGGGAUGCGGAAUUCCUGGUGUAGCGGUGAAAUGCGCAGAUAUCAGGAGGAACACCGAUGGCGAAGGCAGGUCUCUGGGCCAUAACUGACGCUGAGAAGCGAAAGCAUGGGGAGCGAACAGG
This 253-nucleotide ribosomal RNA is filed under the name uncultured bacterium. RNAcentral's name for it is "partial 16S ribosomal RNA". It matches the Rfam family "Bacterial small subunit ribosomal RNA", at positions 524 to 776 of the family's 1533-position model. The record is from RNAcentral.